GUAGUCUCGCACAGAUGCAUAUCAAUAAGCGGAGGAAAAGAAACUAACAAGGAUUCCCUCAGUAACGGCGAGUGAAGCGGGAAGAGCUCAAAUUUGAAAUCUUGAAAGGUCACCUUUCACGAAUUGUAGUUUAAAGAAGUGUUUUCUGUUACGAUCGUAAUAUAAGUUCUUUGGAAUAGGACAUCACAGAGGGUGAGAAUCCCGUCUAUGAUUGCGAUUUGUAGCUUUGUGAUACACUUUCAAAGAGUCGGGUUGUUUGGGAAUGCAGCCCAAACGGGAGGUAAAUUUCUUCUAAGGCUAAAUAUUGGCGAGAGACCGAUAGCGAACAAGUACCGUGAGGGAAAGAUGAAAAGAACUUUGAAAAGAGAGUUAAACAGUACGUGAAAUUGUCAAAAGGGAAGCGUUUGACACCAGUGUUGUUUUCUCGAAAAUCAAUUAAAAAUGGCUCGAUUUUGUAUUGCUGAGACCUUAAAAGCUCAUUGUACAUUUUUCGUGUCUUUUUAAUGCACUUUUCGUUUAACAAGUCAACAUCAGUUUCUUUUGUUGUAAAAGGGUCAUUGGAAGGUGGCUUUCUUUUCGGAGAAAGUGUUUAUAGCCUUUGGCCUCUGCAAUCGGAGAGACUGAGGUCUGCAGCGUAGACUCUUCGGGGUUAGAUACAUUUGUGCUAAGUUAUAGCUUUUUAUAGACAACUUGUUGACUAUAAUUAGUCUUGUAGCUUACUCGCUUAUGCUAUUUUACCUACGCUUAGGAUGUUGAGUCGUAGAGCACGCAG
This 772-nucleotide ribosomal RNA is filed under the name uncultured Neocallimastigales. RNAcentral describes it as "partial large subunit ribosomal RNA". It matches the Rfam family "Eukaryotic large subunit ribosomal RNA", at positions 24 to 605 of the family's 3401-position model. Lineage: Eukaryota; Fungi; Neocallimastigomycota; Neocallimastigomycetes; Neocallimastigales. The record is from RNAcentral.